RNAcentral lists this unclassified non-coding RNA (250 nucleotides) under plant metagenome. RNAcentral's name for it is "partial contains small subunit ribosomal RNA, internal transcribed spacer 1, and 5.8S ribosomal RNA". The record is from RNAcentral.
GUAGGUGAACCUGCGGAAGGAUCAUUACCUCAAUUACAUCUCAACAAAAACCAUAAACUGUGUAUUAUAAUUUUAAUAGUAUACUUUCUCUCUUUGUUCUUCUUCUUCUUCUUCUUCUUCUUCUUCUUCUUCUUCUUCUUCUUUGUGUUGAUCUUCUUAGCGAAGUUGUGACAUAGAGAAAAGAGAGAGAGAGAGAGAAGAGAAAAGAUGAGGGAAGAGCAUAAAGAAAUAACAACCCCCAACCAUUUUC